Molecule: ribosomal RNA, 856 nt
Filed under: actinobacterium WD554
Lineage: Bacteria; Bacillati; Actinomycetota; Actinomycetes
Description: bacterial SSU rRNA
Rfam family: Bacterial small subunit ribosomal RNA
Source: RNAcentral
GAUGCAGCAACGCCGCGUGAGGGACGACGGCCUUCGGGUUGUAAACCUCUUUUAGCAGGGAAGAAGCGAAAGUGACGGUACCUGCAGAAAAAGCGCCGGCUAACUACGUGCCAGCAGCCGCGGUAAUACGUAGGGCGCAAGCGUUAUCCGGAAUUAUUGGGCGUAAAGAGCUCGUAGGCGGUUUGUCGCGUCUGCUGUGAAAUCCCGAGGCUCAACCUCGGGUCUGCAGUGGGUACGGGCAGACUAGAGUGCGGUAGGGGAGAUUGGAAUUCCUGGUGUAGCGGUGGAAUGCGCAGAUAUCAGGAGGAACACCGAUGGCGAAGGCAGAUCUCUGGGCCGUAACUGACGCUGAGGAGCGAAAGGGUGGGGAGCAAACAGGCUUAGAUACCCUGGUAGUCCACCCCGUAAACGUUGGGAACUAGUUGUGGGGUCCAUUCCACGGAUUCCGUGACGCAGCUAACGCAUUAAGUUCCCCGCCUGGGGAGUACGGCCGCAAGGCUAAAACUCAAAGGAAUUGACGGGGACCCGCACAAGCGGCGGAGCAUGCGGAUUAAUUCGAUGCAACGCGAAGAACCUUACCAAGGCUUGACAUAUACGAGAACGGGCCAGAAAUGGUCAACUCUUUGGACACUCGUAAACAGGUGGUGCAUGGUUGUCGUCAGCUCGUGUCGUGAGAUGUUGGGUUAAGUCCCGCAACGAGCGCAACCCUCGUUCUAUGUUGCCAGCACGUAAUGGUGGGAACUCAUGGGAUACUGCCGGGGUCAACUCGGAGGAAGGUGGGGAUGACGUCAAAUCAUCAUGCCCCUUAUGUCUUGGGCUUCACGCAUGCUACAAUGGCCCGGUACAAAGGGCUGCA